RNAcentral lists this ribosomal RNA (549 nucleotides) under uncultured bacterium. RNAcentral describes it as "bacterial SSU rRNA". It matches the Rfam family "Bacterial small subunit ribosomal RNA", at positions 356 to 896 of the family's 1533-position model. The record is from RNAcentral.
GGGGAAUCUUCCGCAAUGGACGAAAGUCUGACGGAGCAACGCCGCGUGAGUGAUGACGGCCUUCGGGUUGUAAAGCUCUGUUAAUCGGGACGAAAGGCCUUCUUGCGAAUAGUUAGAAGGAUUGACGGUACCGGAAUAGAAAGCCACGGCUAACUACGUGCCAGCAGCCGCGGUAAUACGUAGGUGGCAAGCGUUGUCCGGAAUUAUUGGGCGUAAAGCGCGCGCAGGCGGAUUGGUCAGUCUGUCUUAAAAGUUCGGGGCUUAACCCCGUGAUGGGAUGGAAACUGCCAAUCUAGAGUAUCGGAGAGGAAAGUGGAAUUCCUAGUGUAGCGGUGAAAUGCGUAGAUAUUAGGAAGAACACCAGUGGCGAAGGCGACUUUCUGGACGAAAACUGACGCUGAGGCGCGAAAGCCAGGGGAGCAAACGGGAUUAGAUACCCCGGUAGUCCUGGCCGUAAACGAUGGGUACUAGGUGUAGGAGGUAUCGACCCCUUCUGUGCCGGAGUUAACGCAAUAAGUACCCCGCCUGGGGAGUACGACCGCAAGGUUG